UCUGUGUGUGUGUGCAGGAGGAAACAAGGAGACAGUAGGCAGGCUCAAUUCCGAAAAGUAUGACCCUACAGAAGACACGUGGACCGAGAUCCCUUGCAUGCGCGUUCUACUCAAUAUGUUCAACGCAGAAGUCAUCGACGAUAGGAUCUUUGUCAUCAGUGAAUGUUAUGACAAGAAGGUCGCGUGUUUCGAUGACAAGGAAAAUCAAUGGAAUUCGUUGACAAACAUGAAUGUUCAUAAAUUGCUGAUGUCGACUUGUGUCAUCAAGAACCUGCCGAAUGCAAGCGAUUACGCCUACAAACACAGAGACAAAUUAAUGGAGGAGAAACGUAAAAAAAUGUUGUAUUCGACAAAUCAGUAGUUUGCAGUUGAUUACAACCACGACGAACACAUUAAUUUCAAUUACUUUCCCUAUGAAAAUAAUGUAGAAAACUAGGAAUUGAUGUACGAGCUACAAAAAAAUAUAUAAGAAAAUUAUUGUUUGCA
Molecule: non-coding RNA, 486 nt
Organism: Zootermopsis nevadensis
Lineage: Eukaryota; Metazoa; Arthropoda; Insecta; Blattodea; Termopsidae
Source: RefSeq, a predicted model, not a curated record